UGGGGAAUCUUGGACAAUGGGGGCAACCCUGAUCCAGCGAUGCCGCGUGAGUGAAGAAGGCCUUCGGGUCGUAAAGCUCUUUAGGUUGGGAAGAAGUGUAUGGGCUGAAUAAUCCCGUACGUUGACGGUACCGACAGAAUAAGCACCGGCAAACUCUGUGCCAGCAGCCGCGGUAAUACAGAGGGUGCAAGCGUUAAUCGGAGUUACUGGGCGUAAAGGGCGCGUAGGCGGUUGUGUGAGUGUGAUGUGAAAGCCCCGGGCUUAACCUGGGAAGUGCAUCGCAAACGACAUAACUGGAGUAUAUGAGAGGGUGGCGGAAUUUCCGGUGUAGCGGUGAAAUGCGUAGAGAUCGGAAGGAACGUCAAUGGCGAAGGCAGCCACCUGGCAUAAUACUGACGCUGAGGCGCGAAAGCGUGGGGAGCGAACA
RNAcentral lists this ribosomal RNA (427 nucleotides) under uncultured Aquicella sp. Its description in RNAcentral is "bacterial SSU rRNA". It matches the Rfam family "Bacterial small subunit ribosomal RNA", at positions 355 to 774 of the family's 1533-position model. The record is from RNAcentral. Lineage: Bacteria; Pseudomonadati; Pseudomonadota; Gammaproteobacteria; Legionellales; Coxiellaceae.